Molecule: ribosomal RNA, 428 nt
Filed under: Acidobacteriota bacterium
Lineage: Bacteria; Pseudomonadati; Acidobacteriota
Description: Acidobacteria bacterium partial 16S ribosomal RNA
Rfam family: Bacterial small subunit ribosomal RNA
Source: RNAcentral
UGGGGAAUUUUGGACAAUGGGGGAAACCCUGAUCCAGCCAUCCCGCGUGUGCGAUGAAGGCCUUCGGGUUGUAAAGCACUUUUGGCAGGAAAGAAACGUCAUGGGUUAAUACCCCGUGAAACUGACGGUACCUGCAGAAUAAGCACCGGCUAACUACGUGCCAGCAGCCGCGGUAAUACGUAGGGUGCAAGCGUUAAUCGGAAUUACUGGGCGUAAAGCGUGCGCAGGCGGUUGGAAAGAAAAAUGUGAAAUCCCAGAGCUCAACUUUGGAACUGCAUUUUUAACUACCGGGCUAGAGUGUGUCAGAGGGAGGUGGAAUUCCGCGUGUAGCAGUGAAAUGCGUAGAUAUGCGGAGGAACACCGAUGGCGAAGGCAGCCUCCUGGGAUAACACUGACGCUCAUGCACGAAAGCGUGGGGAGCAAACAGG